RNAcentral lists this ribosomal RNA (961 nucleotides) under uncultured bacterium. Its description in RNAcentral is "bacterial SSU rRNA". It matches the Rfam family "Bacterial small subunit ribosomal RNA", at positions 37 to 942 of the family's 1533-position model. The record is from RNAcentral.
UGGUGGCAUGCUUUAUACAUGCAAGUCGAGCGAAGGCUGGAUUUGUAGCAGAGGUAAUUGAUUUUCACUUGUGGAGAUCGAGAGUUUCUGUUAUUGCCGGUCUUAGCGGCGAACGGGUGAGUAACGCGUGAAUAAUCUGCCCUUGAAAUCGGGAUACCAUUUCGAAAGGAAUGCUAAUACCGAAUAACGUUAUGAAACACAGGUUUCAUAACCGAAGUUGAGUCUUCGGAUUCUUCGUUCAAGGAUGAGUUCGCGUCCUAUUAGCUAGUUGGUGAGGUAAUGGCUUACCAAGGCUAUGAUGGGUAGCCGGCCUGAGAGGGCGUACGGCCACAUUGGGACUGAGACACGGCCCAGACUCCUACGGGAGGCAGCAGUAGGGAAUCUUCCGCAAUGGGCGAAAGCCUGACGGAGCGAUGCCACGUGGAUGAUGGAGGCCUUCGGGUCGUAAAAUCCUGUCAGUGGGGACGAUGGUUGAUCUUCGGAUUGAUUGACGGUACCCGCAGAGGAAGCUCCGGCCAACUACGUGCCAGCAGCCGCGGUAAUACGUAGGGAGCAAGCGUUGUUCGGAUUUACUGGGCGUAAAGAGUGCGUAGGUGGCUAUAUAAGUCAAGGGUGAAAUCUCUACUUUCAAGGUAGAAACUGCCUUUGAUACUGUAUAGCUAGAGGACAAGAGGGGGAAAUGGAAUUCUGGGAGUAGCGGUGAAAUGCGUAGAUAUCCAGAGGAACGCCAGUAGCGAAGGCGGUUUCCUGGCUUGUUUCUGACACUGAGGCACUAAAGCUAGGGGAGCGAUCGGGAUUAGAGACCCCGGUAGUCCUAGCCCUAAACGAUGGGUACUAAGUGUGGGGGGAGCAUUACCCUCUGUGCUGAAGCUAACGCGUUAAGUACCCCGCCCGGGGAGUACGGUCGCAAGGCUGAAACUCAAAAGAAUUGACGGGGGGCUGAACAAGCAGUGGAGCACGU